CUGCUCUGAAGACCAGACCAGCUGGUUGCUCACAGUCUCCACAAUCAUGUUGGUAGCAUCUUCAUCUUGGAACAGGGCUUGGACCUGUUGAAGGUUGCCGGAGAACAGGGCAUUGUGCACAGCUGGGUCUCGGCAGGAGCCACAGUGCCCCUCACCUGUGACCCAGAGAGAGAAGCAGCUGAGGUUAUAAAUAGGCCCUUAGCUGUGCUGGUAAACAGCUUGCUCUGAGUAAUGUGCCUUGUGAAGAGAAGUAUUGGACCAACCCUGGGCACAGUGCUUCAUGCCCCUGCACAUGACCUGGGAGGCUUAGCUGAGGCCAUUCAUGAACCCGAGAGUCCACCUCCUCCUACUUCUCUGGAUUGAGUCUUUUGGAUUGGCAAGAGUUGAGGCUUCACAGUGUCAUCAAAUUGGAGGCUACCGUGUAAGUUUCCUGGAUCCUGAGACAAAUCAUCAUCAUCAGGUUACCAAUGUCUGUAUUCCUGAAAUUUUUCUGGAUGGAAUCAAUCUCACCUAGACAACCUCAGAGGAGUGGAGCAGAAGCCAGAAUGGAAGACAAAGCAAGUGUUGGCACCUGGAAGGUCAUUUCUAGCUCCCCUUCCUCUGCGCCACCACCUCCACCUGAUCUGACCUUCAGCAUUUACUGAGGACUACACUACAUGCACCUGUGUAUCAGCUUGGUUAGCUCUCAAGAGACACUCACCCUCCGGUAUACAAGUUUGCCAUCAGACACUCUGGGACCACCAAGAGCCAGCUGUUGCUCUAGGUUCUGUUAUUUCAUUGCUUGGCACACAGCUGGGCCAAGAAUAGGAGAGGUGCCCUGUCCCUAAAAGGCAUCUCUUUGGGAGUCAGGCAGUAGCGCAUCAGGUUAAGCGCACAUGGUGCAAAACGCGAGGACUGACGUAAGGAACCUGGUUCGAGCCCUUGG
Long non-coding RNA from Erinaceus europaeus (western European hedgehog), 925 nucleotides. RefSeq lists it as uncharacterized. The transcript is spliced from 4 exons. NCBI's taxonomy places the organism in Eukaryota, Metazoa, Chordata, Mammalia, Eulipotyphla, Erinaceidae. The record is from RefSeq and is a predicted model, not a curated record.